AGACAGCAUUGUACAGAAUUUAACUAUAUAAGUUCAACUUUCUGAUUAAUAUUGCACAACAAAUUCCGACAAAUAUAAACCACAGAGACCCUUCUGACAGCAUGAAGGCGAACAACGUCAUUCUCGUUUUCUUGGUUGCCUUUUUGUUUUCAACUGUUUCAUCCACCUGUCCAAGUCGUUGCUACACCGCCCUUUCUACGUGUAGCAACAACUGCUACAACACCUUAUCGAAUAUCAUCAACAACAUCGGUAAACGUGACGUCAAUGAUGCCAAACUGCGUCAAAGAAGAUCAAGUUGUUAUGACAUGUGUCAAGCCAUGUACAAAGCCUGCUGUGGAACAAACUAAAGGAACUGAAAUUUUGCCAUUAUUGUAGUGGUCUUUUGGUCAUUACAUUGUCUAAGAGCUAUUUUAAAGUUUUUAUUAAAACAUAAGUUUAUGUA
Saccostrea cuccullata (small rock oyster) is the source of this 442-nucleotide long non-coding RNA. RefSeq lists it as uncharacterized. NCBI's taxonomy places the organism in Eukaryota, Metazoa, Mollusca, Bivalvia, Ostreida, Ostreidae. The transcript is spliced from 2 exons. The record is from RefSeq and is a predicted model, not a curated record.